RNAcentral lists this ribosomal RNA (497 nucleotides) under uncultured bacterium. Its description in RNAcentral is "partial 16S ribosomal RNA". It matches the Rfam family "Bacterial small subunit ribosomal RNA", at positions 28 to 507 of the family's 1533-position model. The record is from RNAcentral.
GAUGAACGCUGGCGGCGUGCCUAAUACAUGCAAGUCGAGCGAACAGACGAGGAGCUUGCUCCUCUGACGUUAGCGGCGGACGGGUGAGUAACACGUGGAUAACCUACCUAUAAGACUGGGAUAACUUCGGGAAACCGGAGCUAAUACCGGAUAAUAUAUUGAACCGCAUGGUUCAAUAGUGAAAGACGGUUUUGCUGUCACUUAUAGAUGGAUCCGCGCCGCAUUAGCUAGUUGGUAAGGUAACGGCUUACCAAGGCAACGAUGCGUAGCCGACCUGAGAGGGUGAUCGGCCACACCGGAAACGAGACACGGGCCAGACUCCUACGGGGGGCAGGAGGAGGGAAUCUUGCGCAAUGGGCGAAAGCCUGACGGAGGCAAGCCGCGUGAGUGAGUAAGGUCUUCGGAUUGUAAAACCCUUUUAUUAGGGAAGAAUAAAUGUGUAAGUAACUAUGCACGUCUUGACGGUACCUAAUCAGAAAGCCACGGCUAACUACGUG